This 425-nucleotide long non-coding RNA is filed under the name Oryzias javanicus (javanese ricefish). Its description in RNAcentral is "lncRNA (ENSOJAG00000019032.1)". The record is from RNAcentral. Lineage: Eukaryota; Metazoa; Chordata; Actinopteri; Beloniformes; Adrianichthyidae.
UAUACAUGCAGCACAAUGAAGGAGGGCAUGUACCUCUGAUAAAGGUGUAAUCUUGUUAUGGCUUUCACUCCUGAGAAACAGUUCUUUAUCUCCAGGGUGACCGAGGUUUCCCAGGAAGUCCAGGAAUUCCAGGAUUUGAAGGACGACCGGGUACUCCAGGACCACCUGGACAGAAGGGUGAACCUGGAGAACUGAUUCCUGACCCUGUUUAUGGAAAUAAAGGAACAGUGGGGUAUCCGGGAUCACCGGGACUUCCGGGAGCUCCAGGGCCACCCGGCUUCCAGGGUCCAAGUGGACCUCAAGGACCGAGAGGUUAUCCGGUAAGAGGGUUGCAGCAAGUUUAUCUCUGAUAUUUUGAUCAUGCAAACUUCAUGCUCUGUUGGUUCUGUGUUUCCAGGGUCAGCCCGGGUCACCUGGUCCUCCUG